CGCUUGUUGGUGAGUAUGGCUCACCAAGGCGACGACGGGUAGCCGGCCUGAGAGGGCGACCGGCCACACUGGGACUGAGACACGGCCCAGACUCCUACGGGAGGCAGCAGUGGGGAAUAUUGCACAAUGGGCGAAAGCCUGAUGCAGCGACGCCGCGUGAGGGAUGACGGCCUUCGGGUUGUAAACCUCUUUCAGCAGGGAAGAAGCGAAAGUGACGGUACCUGCAGAAGAAGCGCCGGCUAACUACGUGCCAGCAGCCGCGGUAAUACGUAGGGCGCGAGCGUUGUCCGGAAUUAUUGGGCGUAAAGAGCUCGUAGGCGGCUUGUCGCGUCGGUUGUGAAAGCCCGGGGCUUAACCCCGGGUCUGCAGUCGAUACGGGCAGGCUAGAGUUCGGUAGGGGAGAUCGGAAUUCCUGGUGUAGCGGUGAAAUGCCCAGAUAUCAGGAGGAACACCCGUGGCGAAAGCGGGAUCUCUGGGCCGAUACUGACCCUGAAGAGCCAAA
This 502-nucleotide ribosomal RNA is filed under the name uncultured Actinomycetes bacterium. RNAcentral describes it as "bacterial SSU rRNA". It matches the Rfam family "Bacterial small subunit ribosomal RNA", at positions 243 to 758 of the family's 1533-position model. Lineage: Bacteria; Bacillati; Actinomycetota; Actinomycetes. The record is from RNAcentral.